Molecule: ribosomal RNA, 612 nt
Filed under: uncultured bacterium
Lineage: Bacteria
Description: bacterial SSU rRNA
Rfam family: Bacterial small subunit ribosomal RNA
Source: RNAcentral
UUAGCUAGUUGGUGAGAUAAAAGCUCACCAAGGCCACGAUGGGUAGCCGGCCUGAGAGGGUGAACGGCCACACUGGAACUGAGACACGGUCCAGACUCCUACGGGAGGCAGCAGUGGGGAAUAUUGCACAAUGGAGGGAACUCUGACGCAGCGACGCCGCGUGAGCGAUGAAGGUUUUCGGAUCGUAAAGCUCUGUCCUUGGGGAAGAAGGGUGCGAAGCAUCUUGACGGUACCUAAGGAGGAAGCCCCGGCUAACUACGUGCCAGCAGCCGCGGUAAUACGUAGGGGGCAAGCGUUGUCCGGAAUUAUUGGGCGUAAAGGGUGCGUAGGCGGCCUUUUAAGUCAGAUGUGAAAGACCACGGCUUAACCGUGGGGUUGCAUUUGAAACUGGAGGGCUUGAGUAUCGGAGAGGGUAGUGGAAUUCCCAGUGUAGCGGUGGAAUGCGUAGAUAUUGGGAGGAACACCAGUGGCGAAGGCGACUACCUGGACGAAAACUGACGCUGAGGCACGAAAGCUAGGGGAGCAAACAGGAUUAGAUACCCUGGUAGUCCUAGCCGUAAACGAUGGGUACUAGGUGUAGGAGGUUUCGAUACCUUCUGUGCCGCAGUUAAC